AGCGAACGCUGGCGGCAGGCUUAACACAUGCAAGUCGAACGCCAUCUUCGGAUGGAGUGGCAGACGGGUGAGUAACGCGUGGAAACAUACCUUUUGCUUCGGAAUAUUCCCGGGAAACUGGGAGCAAUACCGAAUACGCCCUGAGGGGGAAAGAUUUAUCGGCAAAAGAUUGGUCCGCGUUGGAUUAGGUAGUUGGUAGGGUAAUGGCCUACCAAGCCUACGAGCUAUAGCUGGUUUGAGAGGAUGAUCAGCCACAUUGGUACUGAGACACGGACCAAACUCCUACGGGAGGCAGCAGUGGGGAAUAUUGGACAAUGGGCGAAAGCCUGAUCCAGCCAUGCCGCGUGAAUGAUGAAGGCCUUAGGGUUGUAAAAUUCUUUCACUGGGGACGAUAAUGACGGUACCCGGAGAAGAAGCCCCGGCUAACUUCGUGCCAGCAGCCGCGGUAA
This 449-nucleotide ribosomal RNA is filed under the name uncultured bacterium. Its description in RNAcentral is "partial 16S ribosomal RNA". It matches the Rfam family "Bacterial small subunit ribosomal RNA", at positions 29 to 523 of the family's 1533-position model. The record is from RNAcentral.